This 256-nucleotide ribosomal RNA is filed under the name uncultured bacterium. RNAcentral's name for it is "partial 16S ribosomal RNA". It matches the Rfam family "Bacterial small subunit ribosomal RNA", at positions 524 to 776 of the family's 1533-position model. The record is from RNAcentral.
UACGAAGGGGGCUAGCGUUGCUCGGAAUCACUGGGCGUAAAGGGCGCGUAGGCGGCCGAUCAAGUCAGGGGUGAAAGCCUGUGGCUCAACCACAGAAUUGCCUUUGAUACUGUUCGGCUCGAGACCGGAAGAGGUAAGUGGAACUGCGAGUGUAGAGGUGAAAAUUCGUAGAUAUUCGCAAGAACACCAGUGGCGAAGGCGGCUUACUGGUCCGGUUCUGACGCUGAGGCGCGAAAAGCGUGGGGGAGCAAACAGG